GACAGAGGGUGCAAACGUUGUUCGGAAUUACUGGGCGUAAAGCGCGUGUAGGCGGCCAUCUAAGUCGGGCGUGAAAUCCCACGGCUCAACCGUGGAAGUGCACUCGAAACUGGAUGGCUAGAGUCCUGGAGAGGAAGGUGGAAUGCUUGGUGUAGAGGUGAAAUUCGUAGAUAUCAAGAGGAAUACCUGAGGUGAAGACGGGUUGCUAGGCCGACACUGACGCUGAAGCGCGAAAGCCAGGGGAGCAAACGGG
This 253-nucleotide ribosomal RNA is filed under the name uncultured bacterium. Its description in RNAcentral is "partial 16S ribosomal RNA". It matches the Rfam family "Bacterial small subunit ribosomal RNA", at positions 524 to 776 of the family's 1533-position model. The record is from RNAcentral.